This 253-nucleotide ribosomal RNA is filed under the name uncultured bacterium. RNAcentral's name for it is "partial 16S ribosomal RNA". It matches the Rfam family "Bacterial small subunit ribosomal RNA", at positions 524 to 776 of the family's 1533-position model. The record is from RNAcentral.
UACGUAGGGUGCGAGCGUUAAUCGGAAUUACUGGGCGUAAAGCGUGCGUAGGCGGUUCGUUAAGUUCGUCGUGAAAGCCCCGGGCUCAACCUGGGAAUGGCGAUGGAAACUGGCGGGCUGGAGUAUGGCAGAGGGGGGUGGAAUUCCGCGUGUAGCAGUGAAAUGCGUAGAGAUGCGGAGGAACACCGAUGGCGAAGGCAGCCCCCUGGGCCAAUACUGACGCUCAGGCACGAAAGCGUGGGGAGCAAACAGG